AUUGAACGCUGGCGGCAGGCCUAACACAUGCAAGUCGAGCGGAUGAAGGGAGCUUGCUCCUGGAUUCAGCGGCGGACGGGUGAGUAAUGCCUAGGAAUCUGCCUGGUAGUGGGGGGUAACGUCCGGAAACGGGCGCUAAUACCGCAUACGUCCUGAGGGAGAAAGUGGGGGAUCUUCGGACCUCACGCUAUCAGAUGAGCCUAGGUCGGAUUAGCUAGUUGGUGGGGUAAAGGCCUACCAAGGCGACGAUCCGUAACUGGUCUGAGAGGAUGAUCAGUCACACUGGAACUGAGACACGGUCCAGACUCCUACGGGAGGCAGCAGUGGGGAAUAUUGGACAAUGGGCGAAAGCCUGAUCCGGCCAUGCCGCGUGUGUGAAGAAGGUCUUCGGAUUGUAAAGCACUUUAAGUUGGGAGGAAGGGCAGUAAGUUAAUACCUUGCUGUUUUGACGUUACCAACAGAAUAAGCACCGGCUAACUUCGUG
RNAcentral lists this ribosomal RNA (484 nucleotides) under uncultured bacterium. RNAcentral describes it as "partial 16S ribosomal RNA". It matches the Rfam family "Bacterial small subunit ribosomal RNA", at positions 30 to 507 of the family's 1533-position model. The record is from RNAcentral.